CCUACGGGUUGCAGCAGUGGGGAAUAUUGCACAAUGGGCGCAAGCCUGAUGCAGCCAUGCCGCGUGUAUGAAGAAGGCCUUCGGGUUGUAAAGUACUCCCAGAGGGGAGGAAGGUGUUGUGGUUAAUAACCACAGCAAUUGACGUUACCCGCAGAAGAAGCACCGGCUAACUCCGUGCCGGCAGCCGCGGUAAUACGGAGGGUGCAAGCGUUAAUCGGAAUUACUGGGCGUAAAGCGCACGCAGGCGGUCUGUCAAGUCGGAUGUGAAAUCCCCGGGCUCAACCUGGGAACUGCAUUCGAAACUGGCAGGCUAGAGUCUUGUAGAGGGGGGUAGAAUUCCAGGUGUAGCGGUGAAAUGCGUAGAGAUCUGGAGGAAUACCGGUGGCGAAGGCGGCCCCCUGGACAAAGACUGACGCUCAGGUGCGAAAGCGUGGGGAGCAAACAGGAUUAGAUACCCCAGUAG
Molecule: ribosomal RNA, 463 nt
Filed under: uncultured bacterium
Lineage: Bacteria
Description: bacterial SSU rRNA
Rfam family: Bacterial small subunit ribosomal RNA
Source: RNAcentral